This 80-nucleotide transfer RNA is filed under the name Clavibacter michiganensis. RNAcentral's name for it is "tRNA-Pro". Lineage: Bacteria; Bacillati; Actinomycetota; Actinomycetes; Micrococcales; Microbacteriaceae. The record is from RNAcentral. RNAcentral also lists the same sequence under 1 other name.
GGUACGAGUACGCGACGAUGCGCGAGGUCGCCUUCGGGUGGCGGCGCACGGGUCCGAAGAUCACGGCCUCGGUCGUGCCG